GAUGAACGCUGGCGGCGUGCCUAAUACAUGCAAGUCGAGCGAACGGACGAGAAGCUUGCUUCUCUGAUGUUAGCGGCGGACGGGUGAGUAACACGUGGAUAACCUACCUAUAGGAAUGGAGUACGUUCGGGAACCCGAACCUAGUACCGGUAAUUAUUUUGAACGGCAGGGUUCAAAAGUGAAAGAGGGCUUUGAUGUCCCUAAUAAAGGGUCCCGCGUUGCAUUAGCUAGUUGGUAAGGUAACGGCUUACCAAGGCAACGAUGCAUAGCCGACCUGAGAGGGUGAUCGGCCACACUGGAACUGAGACACGGUCCAGACUCCUACGGGAGGCAGCAGUAGGGAAUCUUCCGCAAUGGGCGAAAGCCUGACGGAGCAACGCCGCGUGAGUGAUGAAGGUCUUCGGAUCGUAAAACUCUGUUAUUAGGGAAGAACAUAUGUGUAAGUAACUGUGCACAUCUUGACGGUACCUAAUCAGAAAGCCACGGCUAACUACGUG
This 497-nucleotide ribosomal RNA is filed under the name uncultured bacterium. RNAcentral's name for it is "partial 16S ribosomal RNA". It matches the Rfam family "Bacterial small subunit ribosomal RNA", at positions 28 to 507 of the family's 1533-position model. The record is from RNAcentral.